GAAUCCACCGGGGUGCAGCGAGGCUGUGGAAAGUCCCACCCAGAACGUGAGUUUUAACUUCUAGUCAUGGCGAAUGAUCGCAGGAGAGCACAGACUGGACCCUGCUACGAUCUCUCUUGGAGUGGAUCAGACUGAUGAUCACCAACAACCAACUCAUUCCCGGAUAAGGAAGAAGAGAGUGUCACCUACUUCAGUGUGGUUUCAACCCUACUUCUGCAUCUUAAAGACACUUGUACAACGUUGGACACUGUGCAGGAUGAUGCCACUUCAUCUUGGAUGCUAAUCUGCCAUGUUGACUUCUGAUUAACCCCAGGCCCAGGAAUGCCUCAAGAUUUCUACUUUACUUACUGUUGCUUGUGUAAGCCAAGACAACCUUGAUGUUAUCAUAAACAUGUACUUACCUAAGUCCUGUCCUUUGGCAAAUUAUGGGCUAUGAGACACAGCAUUCUUGCCUUUCCCUGAGGGGUCAAUUUCAGCGAUCCUACACAUUCCUUCUGAAGCACUUAUGCUCUUUCUAUAUGGUAUGUAAGCUCUCGGUCUGGGGAGUAACAGUGCAGAGAUCUACCUGUCUUGUUGCCACAUGUUUCUAAACUUUCCAAUAAAUCACCUUCUACUGACAA
RNAcentral lists this long non-coding RNA (620 nucleotides) under Homo sapiens (human). RNAcentral describes it as "HSALNT0398862". Lineage: Eukaryota; Metazoa; Chordata; Mammalia; Primates; Hominidae. The record is from RNAcentral.